This 426-nucleotide ribosomal RNA is filed under the name uncultured bacterium. RNAcentral describes it as "bacterial SSU rRNA". It matches the Rfam family "Bacterial small subunit ribosomal RNA", at positions 354 to 796 of the family's 1533-position model. The record is from RNAcentral.
GUAAGGAAUCUUCCACAAUGGGGGCAACCCUGAUGGAGCAAUACCGCGUGUAGGAUGAAGCAUUUCGGUGUGUAAACUACUUUUAUCUGUGAUGAUUAUGACAGUAACAGAAGAAUAAGGACCGGCUAACUACGUGCCAGCAGCCGCGGUAAUACGUAGGGUCCAAGCGUUAUCCGGAAUUACUGGGCGUAAAGCGUCUGUAGGCGGCGAAACAAGUCGGGUGCGAAAUCUUGCGGCUCAACCGUAUAGACUGUGCUCGAAACUGUUUUGCUAGAGGUAGGUAGAGGCAAGUGGAAUUUCUGGUGUAGGAGUGACAUCCGUAGAUAUCAGAAGGAACACCAAUGGCGAAGGCAGCUUGCUGGGCCUUACCUGACGCUCAGAGACGAAAGCGUGGGGAGCGAACGGGAUUAGAUACCCCAGUAGUCC